AGCGCUAAAUUAACAAUAAACUGACUGAGAGGAGAGGAAAACUGGGAAGUUCAGCAAAGAAGUCACAUGGAGUUAAGUGAGAUUCAUCUUCAAAGUCCACUGGAUUCUAAAAAUCUCAAAGCAAAUGGGAAAGUGUCCCACUGGUUUAGAAAUGGAAUUGGAAGCCUGCAGGAGAAAGCAAGGAUUUUUAUUGGAUACCUGUCACAUGAAAAGCCCAUAUGGCCUGGAGUGUCACACUUCAUUUACCUCAACAAUGCAAACAAGAGCUUGAGAAGAAUCUCACCAUUUGACAGCCCAAAUGGCUCUUUAGCAACAACUUCUAGUUCUCUGGCCAGGCCACAUUAAAUGACAGUUUUAUUGAAAGAAAAAGAAACCAAAAAAUAACAUGGAGU
RNAcentral lists this long non-coding RNA (392 nucleotides) under Sarcophilus harrisii (Tasmanian devil). Its description in RNAcentral is "lncRNA (ENSSHAG00000021919.1)". Lineage: Eukaryota; Metazoa; Chordata; Mammalia; Dasyuromorphia; Dasyuridae. The record is from RNAcentral.